RNAcentral lists this ribosomal RNA (465 nucleotides) under uncultured bacterium. RNAcentral describes it as "partial 16S ribosomal RNA". It matches the Rfam family "Bacterial small subunit ribosomal RNA", at positions 338 to 795 of the family's 1533-position model. The record is from RNAcentral.
CCUACGGUGAGCUGCAGUGGGGAAUAUUGCGCAAUGGGCGAAAGCCUGACGCAGCGACGCCGCGUGAGGGAUGAAGGUCUUCGGAUCGUAAACCUCUGUCAGCAGGGAAGAACGGUCACUGUGCUAAUCAGCAGUGAAUUGACGGUACCUGCAAAGGAAGCACCGGCUAACUCCGUGCCAGCAGCCGCGGUAAUACGGAGGGUGCGAGCGUUAAUCGGAAUUACUGGGCGUAAAGCGCUCGUAGGCGGUAUGUCAAGUCAAGGGUGAAAUCCCCGGGCUCAACGUGGGAACUGCCUUUGAAACUGGCAAACUGGAGUGUGUGAGAGGAUAGUGGAAUGCCAGGUGUAGGAGUGAAAUCCGUAGAUAUCUGGCGGAACAUCAGUGGCGAAGGCGACUAUCUGGCACAUAACUGACGCUGAGGAGCGAAAGCGUGGGUAGCAAACAGGAUUAGAUACCCCAGUAGUC